This 1540-nucleotide long non-coding RNA is filed under the name Homo sapiens (human). RNAcentral's name for it is "non-protein coding lnc-TTC14-3:1". Lineage: Eukaryota; Metazoa; Chordata; Mammalia; Primates; Hominidae. The record is from RNAcentral.
CCUGGACCUGGCCACUCUUCUCUGGCGGAAGCAGGUUCCGUGCGGGCCCUACAGCAGCAUCCAAGCCCCUGUCCUCUCGGCACCUGAGUUCUUGUUUGGCAUCCAGGAAGAAUUAGGUCACCCACACGGAUUGAAAGGCCCCCAGAUGAGACAGGAUUGUUCCCUUCAUCUUAACCCCCUUCGUGGGCGGGAACUGGAGCAGCUCAUUUCACUCAGCUCGCCUCCUGCCACUCCUGGCGGCAGAGCGUGCGAGUGCGGGAACCGGAGCGACCGAAUGCUGGAACCGGCCGGUCACUCCUCUCUGGCGGGAAUAGGCUCUGUGCGGGCCUCACAGCAGCGUCCAAGCCCUGGCCUCUCGGCACCGGGGUACCUGUCCGGCGUCCAGGAAGAAUUAGGUCAUAUGAACGGAUUGAAGAGUAGUGUAUGCGGAAGAUUUGAUUGAGUGGUGGCUCCUGGUGGGAUGGGUACUGGAAAGCAGACGGUGAAAGAGGGUCAUCUUUCCCUGAAGCCGCACCAUCUGAAGUUAGCUGCGUCUAUCUGUAGUCUUCAACACUCUUGCUGCUUCUCUGCUCACCGCUCAGCCGCUUGUGUUGCUCUGCCAGCUGAAGUCUUUUUUAUGGCCACAGGAUAGGGGCGUGGCAGGCCAAAAAAACAACAUUUGGGCAGAAAAACAGGGUCAGCUGUUUUCAAGGCCGUGAUUCCAGGCUUAAGGGUGGGGUUUAGCUGGGAACCCAGCCAUUCUGUAUCAGUGAUAGUUGCACAACUAUAAAUAUACUAACAACCAUUGAAUUGUGUACUUUAAGUAGAUUAACCGUAUGAUAUAUGAAUUACAUCUCAGUAAAGUUGUUUUUUAAAAAAUAUGCAUAUACCUUAGUCUAGCCGUUCCAGGUCAUAUACUACAGCGAUAGUAACAAAGAUAUAAUAUGUGGUUUAUAAUAAUAAAUAUUGGAAAUACUUAAUCUUGCAAAUGCAUGAUCAGUAAGGUAGUGGAGGCAAAAACUAGGUUUCCCAGGAGCUUCAGGCUUCUCAACUUCCAAGUAGUAAUCUCAAGGAAGUACGUACUCUGACUGAAACUGUUUAUGUCACAGACCUACUCCUUAGACCAAUCACUGUUCCCAUAGAGAUAGCUCAUUAUGAUUUGUGGAGUCAGAAUCAUGUGCCCACUGCUGAAAUCAGGAAUUCAGGGUCCUGGGAGAGUCACCCGUGCCACCCACCUAAUGUUUUCUGGAAGUUUGACUUUAAAAGGAAGAAGACAGCAAGAGAUCAAUAUAGCUAGAGUGUGGAGAUGAGGUGUUUUCUUUAAAAUAGAGGUGACUUGAACACGUUUAAAUGCUUGUGCAAAGUAGCCAAUAUAGAGGGAGCAGUUAAAGACACAAAAGAAAUAGAAUAUUUCUAAUCAAUAGAUCUCAGGAAAUUAUUAUUUCCCACUAUCCCUCAGAAAAUUAUAUUCAAUAAAGGAAUUUGUUUCUGGCUCCUUGGAGGAUUAACUUUCCUUUUCAUGCUUAGGCAAUACAAAGUUGAAUCACCACUUUAAACCACA